RNAcentral lists this small RNA (104 nucleotides) under Candidatus Atribacteria bacterium MT.SAG.1. RNAcentral's name for it is "Guanidine-I riboswitch aptamer". It matches the Rfam family "Guanidine-I riboswitch aptamer". From Rfam's summary of the family: This family represents a conserved RNA structure found upstream of the ykkC and yxkD genes in Bacillus subtilis and related genes in other bacteria. The function of this family is unclear although it has been suggested that it may function to switch on efflux pumps and detoxification systems in response to harmful environmental molecules. Nelson showed that this riboswitch senses and responds to guanidine and it was renamed Guanidine-I riboswitch. The record is from Rfam by way of RNAcentral. Lineage: Bacteria; Pseudomonadati; Atribacterota.
CAGAAGUGUGUCUAGGGUUCCGUCUAAUUAAUUAUUAGAGUCUGGACCAAGCGUCACAAGGUAUCUAAUCGAUACUACACUUUUAGGAUAAAAGCCUGAGAGAU